Molecule: ribosomal RNA, 274 nt
Filed under: uncultured bacterium
Lineage: Bacteria
Description: partial 16S ribosomal RNA
Rfam family: Bacterial small subunit ribosomal RNA
Source: RNAcentral
ACACGGAGGGCUCAAGCGUUGCUGGGAAUCACUGGGCGUAAAGCGGGUGUAGGCGGUCUAGCAAGUCAGAUGUGAAAGCCCACGGCUCAACCGUGGAAGUGCAUCUGAAACUGCUAGACUUGAGUGCCGGAGAGGGAAGUGGAAUUCCUGGUGUAGGGGUGAAAUCCGUAGAUAUCAGGAGGAACACCGGUGGCGAAGGCGACUUCCUGGACGGCCACUGACGCUGAGACCCGAAAGCGUGGGGAGCAAACAGGAUUAGAAACCCUAGUAGUCC